RNAcentral lists this ribosomal RNA (909 nucleotides) under marine metagenome. RNAcentral's name for it is "bacterial SSU rRNA". It matches the Rfam family "Bacterial small subunit ribosomal RNA", at positions 598 to 1520 of the family's 1533-position model. The record is from RNAcentral.
AAUCCCAGAGCUAACUCUGGAACUGCCAUCAAAACUUUCAGCUAGAGUUUGAUAGAGGAAAGCAGAAUUUCUAGUGUAGAGGUGAAAUUCGUAGAUAUUAGAAAGAAUACCAAUUGCGAAGGCAGCUUUCUGGAUCAUUACUGACACUGAGGAACGAAAGCAUGGGUAGCGAAGAGGAUUAGAUACCCUCGUAGUCCAUGCCGUAAACGAUGUGUGUUAGACGUUGGAAAUUUAUUUUCAGUGUCGCAGCGAAAGCGAUAAACACACCGCCUGGGGAGUACGACCGCAAGGUUAAAACUCAAAUGAAUUGACGGGGACCCGCACAAGUAGUGGAGCAUGUGGUUUAAUUCGAAGAUACGCGCAGAACCUUACCAACACUUGACAUGUUCGUCGCGACUUUAAGAGAUUAAAGUUUUCGGUUCGGCCGGACGAAACACAGGUGCUGCAUGGCUGUCGUCAGCUCGUGUCGUGAGAUGUUGGGUUAAGUCCCGCAACGAGCGCAACCCUCACUUUUAGUUGCCAUCAUUAAGUUGGGCACUCUGAAAGAACUGCCAGUGAUAAGCUGGAGGAAGGUGGGGAUGACGUCAAGUCCUCAUGGCCCUUACGUGUUGGGCUACACACGUGCUACAAUGGUAUCUACAAAAGGAAGCAAAACGGCAACGUUAAGCAAAUCCUUAAAAGAUACCUCAGUUCGGAUUGCACUCUGCAACUCGAGUGCAUGAAGCUGGAAUUACUAGUAAUCGUGGAUCAGCGUGCCACGGUGAAUGCGUUCCCGGGUCUUGUACACACCGCCCGUCACACCAUGGGAGUUGGUUCUACCUUAAGGCAAGGUUUAAAAUCCUUGACCACGGUAUAGUCAGCGACUGGGGUGAAGUCGUAACAAGGUAGCCGUAGGGGAACCUGCGGCUG